AGCCAAUUCUGACCCUGUCAACGAAUCAUCCACACACCUGCAGCUCUGCUGAGAGAGUGCAAGUCGUGGGGUUUUCUGGAAUUUCUUCACUUCAAGAAAAAUACUAGACUUGGGAAGGUUCUAGAGAAACAGAAAUACAGAUGAGAGAGAGAAUUCAAUAGCUGAAUAUCAAGACCUUUGAAUUCAACAAGAAGUUGAGACAUUUAUAGUUGUCUAACAACAGACUGAAGAUUGUAGCUUGGUAUUCACUGGCAGGUUUCAGACAUUUAGAUCUUUCUUUUAAUGACUGACACCAUGCCUAUCUGUGGAGAAGCUGGCAACAUGUCACACCUGGAAAUUGUUUUUCAACAUUAAUACUAUUAUUUGGCGGUGAUCCAGAUUGCUUUUGCCACCAACCUGAAGACAUAUAGAGGCAGAAGGACAGGAAUAAUUCUAUUUGUUUCCUGUUUUGAAACUUCCAUCUGUAAGGCUAUCAAAACGAGAUGUGAGAGAGGGUGUUGAGUCUGACCUGACAAUGCAGUUCUUAAACCAAAGGGCCAUUAUGCUUCUCCUCUCUGAGAAUCCUGACUUGCCUCAACAAUGGAGACAUGGCACAG
Molecule: small RNA, 596 nt
Filed under: Pongo abelii (Sumatran orangutan)
Lineage: Eukaryota; Metazoa; Chordata; Mammalia; Primates; Hominidae
Description: processed transcript
Source: RNAcentral